GAAGCAGCCGAUGAAGGAGAAUUGGAUAAUGAAUGCUGGAAAAUUCAAUCGUAUUGUCGAUCUUAAAUUCUAAAAAACAACAUUGGUCUUUGCUAUAUCAUUCUACUUCGUAAUAUUACAUUGGACUAAUUACAUUGUGAUUUUUCAUUUAAAUAAUAAGAAAUUGAAGUUCAGAUACAAUUCUCUUGUAACUGAUAAUUUCAGAUAAAAUACUUAAGAAUUUUUUUUUUCCAUAACGAAAGCAAGAGCCAAACAUCCACAAUAAUGACACACUGUUUUUCCAUAUAUGUCUCUCAACUCUGGUGUGAUGGAAUACGCAGCGAUUGUAAGAAUUAAGAAUGGGUUCACCUUCAGGAAAACACACAAAAGUGUUGAUUCCCAUCUCUGGAAUAAUUUCUAUGCAGUAAUCGAUUCCAGGUUGCAAUAUUCGUGGAUCGUGUUCCCGUGCAAAUAUCGAACCAUUGGUUAAUAAUACAUGGAAAUCUUGCGCGUCUUCGGUUGAAUUUAAAAUAUACCUGGAGGAAUAAAUGCAAAAUUUUUAUUUUUUUUUUUUUUUUCAAAUUAUACAUCCUUCUAACGUAUAUUUAAUAGUUUCAGCGCAAAACUAUAUUCUUAGAAAUAUAGUGGAUAGAUUAAGAUAAUAUUUGAAAUUAAUUGCAAUCAUUAUUUGCAUUUGAAUUAAGAAAGAAUGUUACUUAUCCUUGAAUAUAAAACUUGAAUAUAAAGAAUGCAAGAUGUUACGAUACGAUAAUAGAUUCGAGAUGAAAUUGCUUUUUCUUUUGAAAGCAAGAGAAAGAAUAUACAAGGGAUUUCCAAUAAUCGCGACAAACGUACUUCGAACCUUACCGAAACUAUAACCAGAAUCAUUGAAAUUAUAGAAAAUAGGAGAGAAAUUUUCGAUACUGAAGGGAUCCAUAACUGUGCAAACCGCUUUUCCAGUUACGUUUCUUACAAAAACUUCGCCUAUCGGGCAACAUUUUCCAACCACAGGAUGAUCCUGCCCUCUCCAAAUACUUGAAAUUAUUCAAAUUGAAACAAGAGGUUGAAAAGAAGAGAGGUAUAAGAUUAAAGAGUUAAAGAGAGAUUUCAG
Molecule: long non-coding RNA, 1090 nt
Organism: Apis mellifera (honey bee)
Lineage: Eukaryota; Metazoa; Arthropoda; Insecta; Hymenoptera; Apidae
Exons: 6
Source: RefSeq, a predicted model, not a curated record